Molecule: unclassified non-coding RNA, 1891 nt
Filed under: Hevea brasiliensis (rubber tree)
Lineage: Eukaryota; Viridiplantae; Streptophyta; Magnoliopsida; Malpighiales; Euphorbiaceae
Source: RNAcentral
CGCCCCCCAAUUUUACAGUCUUAACAAUGUUUAUAUCGUACAUUAACAUAUUAAACACAAAUUACCUUUAUUUCAAAUCCUCACGUAUCUUAGCAUAACCUUGAAACCCUUGCUAAAUAAUUUAUCAAAAGAACUUCUCACCGACAUUCCAUUCUAUUCUAUUAGUAAAUACUUUGAUCAAAAGCCAAUUCUGAUCCUCUUUCCAGGCACAAACAUGUCAGAUACCUUCUUCAAGUUCUUCCUUCCACAUGUGAAUCUUUAGGUGAUAGCCAACUCAUACUAAACUGCAGCAAGAUGAUCAUGAAAAUCCUCACGGCUCUAUGAAGUUGGGAGUUUAGGGCUGCUGUUAUUUGGGGAAAAUAUAACUAAUUCUAACUCAAUUGAUUUGAGUUGGAUCACUUCAGGGAGGACUAGUCAGUUCUGAGUCCUGGAACAAGGCAGGAAAUGGGGCAAUCCAGCUUGAGGAUUAGCACGUAUACGAAGAAUCCAUCAAUCUGGCAUGUGACAGGUAGUAAAGAGAUUAGUUGUGUGUCCUGGAUUCUCACAUCUUUUUUCCUCAGUUGGUCGAGCACAUAAUUGAUGGAUGCACUUGAAACCAAGUUCUUUCUUAAGAGGAACAAACUAACAAGCCCAUCCAAUAGACGUGAUCAAAGGGCAUGUCGACUUCUGCCUUGCCUUGGUUGUAGCUUAUAGCUUAAUAUCUUUGAUUCAUACGCCAGCAUUUGGUGCAUAAAACAUCUGAAGUUUCGAACUGGUUAAAUCUCCAGAUCUUCCCAAGGGACACCCUAGUGAACUUAGGUCCCAUUGCAUACUUCUAUUAUUUACAGAGGGCUGUCCUUCUAUACAAUAUACAAAGAAAAUCCAGACUAGUUACUUGGUUUCUGUGAAAUCUGCAUCAAUGACAUCUCCAUCAUCUCCUUUUCCAGUUGAUUUUGAUGACCCAGCAUCGCUUCCAGCUUUAGGUCCAGCACUAGCGCUAGUCCGACUGUAAAGGAACUGCCCCAAUUGCAUGACUUCUUGGUUCAGGACAGCAAUUGCAUCUUUGAUGACCUGGGUUGAUCCAUUUGAGAUGGCAUCCUUGAGGUCAUUCAGUUUAGCCUCCACCUUCUCCUUGACAGAGACGGGUAUUUUCUGUUCCAGCUCCUUCAGCUGCUUUUCAGUCUGGUAAACAAGACUGUCAGCCUGGUUCUUAGUGUCAAUAGCUUCCCUCUUCUCUUUGUCCUCCUUCGCAUAUUUUUCUGCUUCCCUGAUCAUCCUUUCCACCUCGGUACUAGGUAGGGUGCUAGCACCAGUUAUGGUGAUAUCCUGCUUCUUUCCUGUUCCCUUGUCAAUAGCCGUAACAGAGAGGAUACCAUUGGCAUCAAUAUCAAACUUGACGUCAAUCUGUGGAACUCCGCGUGGGGCCAGAGGGAUACCUUCCAAGUGGAAGCUUCCAAGAAGUUUGUUGUCUCUUACAAGCUCUCUCUCCCCCUGGUAGACAUUUAUCUCAACACUUGUCUGUCCAUCUGCAGCAGUGGAGAACACCUCUGUUUUGGAGGUUGGUAUAGUUGUGUUCCGUGGGAUUAUCUUUGUCAUCACACCGCCUAUGGUUUCUAGCCCUAGAGAGAGCGGUGUCACAUCUAAGAGCACAAUGUUGCUUACUUCUCCAGUGAGAACAGCAGCCUGAACUGCAGCGCCAAGCGCAACAACUUCAUCAGGAUUCACUGUUACAUUAGGUUCUUUUCCAGUCAUUUUUCUCACCAAACCCUGAACAGCUGGUAUACGUGUUGAACCACCAACAAGGAUCACUUCAUCUAUAUCUUGGAGGGAAAGCUUUGCAUCUUUCAAGGCAUUUUGAACUGGAGCCCUAAGCCUAUCCAACAAAUCUUCGCACAACUCUUCAAAUUUGGCU